CAGACUCUGGCUAGGUCUGGCCCCUGGGACACAUGGCCUCUUAUAAAUGCAGGGGGCUUUCAGAUCCAGACAUCCACAGCCCUCAGUGCACUGGGCACCCAGGUUGCUGGUCUGCAAGAUGCAUCCUCAUGUUGCCCACCUGGCUGGCAUGGUAGAUAUGCCCUUGGGCUGUUUCAAGAUUAGCUGGGAAGGUGAGCAAGAGGCAUGAUGAUGACCACAAAAGGUUGCAGCUCCAGAACCCCACCCAGGGUUCCCAGAUGGAACUCGGUGGGGCCAGACAGAAGUAUGUGCCUGCCAGGGAGUCAGGCACUCUCUGGCUCCAUCCCUGACACCCAGCCUCCUGACACCCAGCAAAUCCUCUGUCUCCCUAAAGGAAGUCAGGCCUGUAUCCUGGCUUCUGGCUUUUGUGCCAUUUUUAUAGCAUGGACUUGAUUUAGGUGUUAGGGUCUUGCUAAGAAUAUGCCCUGACACUUGAAAGAACCUUUAUUAUUAUUCUAAUUUGUGAAGAACUGGUUGUUGGUAUUUUCUUUCCCUUCUCCCCUUUCUUCUCUUCAGAGUCAGGCUGGAGCUAGGUCAUUGUUGUUAAUUUUAGAUCUGAAACUAUAUCUGGCAUGGACUGGUGUCCCCACACUUUCACUUCUUAAAACAGGAAGGAAGGCCCCAGCUGGAGAACUUGGGAGACACAAG
RNAcentral lists this long non-coding RNA (687 nucleotides) under Marmota monax (woodchuck). Lineage: Eukaryota; Metazoa; Chordata; Mammalia; Rodentia; Sciuridae. The record is from RNAcentral.